Molecule: non-coding RNA, 3235 nt
Organism: Lolium perenne
Lineage: Eukaryota; Viridiplantae; Streptophyta; Magnoliopsida; Poales; Poaceae
Source: RefSeq, a predicted model, not a curated record
CCUAGAUCGAAGGAGCUCUCCAAUCCCGUGCGCUCGCCUCCACUCCCAUCCUCCCCAAUCCCGUGCGGCACGGAGGGAGAGCGGCGGGCCGGACCUCACAGCUCCUCAUCCGUGCGCUGGAGAGAAGCAGCACGGGUGCCGCCGGCCACCUCCCACUCGUCUCCUCUCUCCCGUUUUUUAGCUCGGCGGCGCGGACGGUGAGUGGCGGGCGAGAGUGGCUUCCCGGAGGAGGCCUGCAGCGCGGGUGGCGAGGGGAUUGAGGCGGCGGUCGGCCGGCUCAGAGGUCAAGCUCGCGCCGUCUCGCCCUCCUAGCCGUGUAUGCGGGUAAAACGGCGAUGCGCGGUGGUCUGGUGGUAGAGAACCAGCGAGGGACGGCGGUGGGACAGUGGUGGAGGAGCAUGUGGCCAUCCUCUUCCCUCUCCCUCUCACUUUCUCUCUCUGUCUACGGAUCGUGAAGAGGCGGCCCUGUCGCUCCGCUGCGCCGGCCGAACCAGAUCCAGCGGGAUUUCAUCUCCUACACCAGAUCCAGCGUGGGAUGCUUCCUCCUGUGAAGCUUUGGUCCUGAACAUGGCUACCCGAGCUUGCAGGGCAUGGAAAACAACGAAGAGAAGGUCCAUGCGUUGGAACCAAAGGAUUCCAAGCUCCAGAGGUUCUUCCGAGAUCUUCUCAACAGGGUUGUAAUGUUGAUGCCUGGUCUGCUGGCGUGAUACUCCUGUAUUUGAUAACUGGCAAAACACCUUUUGGCAGUGACCCCGAACAGUGAGUUAGCUACUGCAUUUACGAAGUUCUGCUUCCCUAAUUAGAAAACACUCUAAACUUGUGGCAUCUGUUGAACAAAUAUGAACAUGAGAUGAUGGAGAUGGUGUUCUGGGCAGAGGCAGCCGACGUUGCUAUGCCAGGAUUCAUGAUGAUAAUGUUGUAGAUGCGAAUGAUGAGUAUGAGGAGAAAGCACGACCAGGACGACUCAAAUGACCACGAGCAUGGCGCCUCCGCCGGAGCACAACACACUUCUUUCUUCUCGCUGCGGUUGGAUGUCUAGCAGAUUCACUAAUAGCGAGCACCACCAUUUGUGUUCAUGACCUGCAUGACUGCUGCAGGGCUACUCGCGAUCGUACAAUGACUUAUGGCAAUUACACAAUGGCUUUCGUAGACUCAUUGCCGAGUUGCAUGGUCGGUCACUCGAUUUUUCUCAGCGACUUAAAAACCUUGAAUACACGGCUUAGCUUUGCUUCAACGACAUGCUCUUUUUCAGCUUGAAGGUCACAGAGUAAAUUGCAAGGUGCAUUCUGCAACAUGAAGGAUAUUUAGGUGGUCUUGGUGCAUUGAUGAGUUAUGGGGGAUCACAUAGAUGAAAAUUUGACCCUUGACAAUUUCACAUGAAGCAUGGGACGUAACGUAUUUGAUGAUGCUUGGAGCUUUGGGAUCAGUUCAGAUGUUACUGGGAUAGAUGAAUAGCCCGAAACUUUGAGAGGAUGCUAUGGAUCUUCUCCCAAUCCUAGCACUGCCGUAUGUCGAGGUAGUUUGGUGAGGCGCGUUUUGGAGAAGGGUGGUGGCGCGCCAGUAGAGUCGCCGGGGCGCUGCGUCGCCUCAGGAAGUUUGUCCACCGCCACCUGCCGGGGCCAUCGACCCCUCCCUGCUCUGGUCAUCUUCACCGGUGGAACGGCGGGAUAUUGCUUGGCUCAAGCGGUGAUGGUCACAAGCCUACCUCCACUCCUCCCCGUUCUCUACUCCAUUUGUCAACUGUACAACAUGCACACUCCCAGGAUAAAGUGACAUUCCUAUGGGAAUAUCAAGUGGGUCAGCAGCUAACUGUUUGGUAGCUCAAGUGAAUGGGAUACUCUUGGAUAUGGUGAGGCCACUGAAAGUCUGUCGGGAGGGUGUACAACUGAGGUUGUGCAGUCUGUUCGUCCUUGAAAGAGAAGGUAUGGGAUUAGUCUAAAUUGGGGUGCCUGAAAAUAAGCAGCCCUAUUUUUGCGGUCAAUGCUCAUAUUCUAAUGCUUCCACUUUUCCUUUUAACAUUUUUUACUAUGACAUCCAGUAUAAUGACUUGACACUGAAUGGCACAUGUUUGUCGGGCAUCUCUUUGCAUGUUUAUCGACACGUAGACAGUUUUAUUGGGCGAGAUUCUGCAGAUGUAGCAAAUUUCUAGCAAACGGUUUCAUGAGUGGUGCAAAUUUAUACGUGAUGCUUGUGUACUGAUGUCAAUUGCUUAGCGUUCGAGCCACUGUGGACAUUAAUAUAUGAUGCAAGCUUGCUUUUGUUUCUCUUUAUAUGAUGCAAGUUUCUAUUUUUUUUUUUGCUUUCUGAUUCGUUUCUCUUUAUAUGAUGCAAGCUUUGUUUCUCCGAGUCACCGUAGCAUGGUAGAUCAAUUCAUUCCGGCCACUGUGGACAUUAAUAUGAUGCUCAUCUUUUUGGUAUAACAAUCAUUGGUGUCAACCUUUUUUAUUGCUAUUAAUAAUUGAUAGUGUAUAAUUACUCCUAUUGCUAAAUACUGGACUGUGAUAUCUUUGUGGCAAGAAGAUAAUGGAAAUAUUUUAAAGCCCUGGUUACUGAUAAGAACACAAAUAUUCCAAUUUCAGUUACUUGCUUUGAUUUUGGCUCAAGAGAGUUGUUUACAAUUACAAUUGGUUAGAGAAGUUUCGGUGCUUAUAGAUGGAUAGAAUAUAUGUUUACUGACAGGCUAUGCUUUCUAUUAUUUGUGAAGUGAUGUAUGAUUGUUAGCUCAAUAUUCAGUGCUCAUAGGAAGUCAUCGUAUCAUCCGUGGAUACAGUUCAUCAUGUAUAAAUCACUACAAUUACACAAUUUCUUUUGUCAUUUCAAUGAUUGCCAUAUUGCUAUUUUCAGUCUGCUGCAAUCCAUAUGCAUAGUUAGUCAAUUCUAUUUUUUACAUCUGUACCUGCACAAUAUGGUAUAAAUCAUCCUCUUGAAAUUCUCUGCAGGGAGAUAUUAAAGCCCUAAAGGUGUAGGAGUGCAGCUUACACGAAUAAAUACGGUAGCUUCGAUCCAACAAGUUUGGAACAAGAUUAUCGAAGACGCCUGCUGCUUGGCAUCGGCGGGGAGAGUUAAGGCUGCUGACCCGAUCAUUAGACCUAGAGAGCCACACUAACAUGUCUUAGCUGAACAACAUCUGCAGUUUUCUCUUUAGAGUUGGUGCCGUUCCUGAUUGCUAUUUGAGCUCCAUGUAAUUCUGUUACUUCUUUUAAUGAUCCCUAUAUCAAUGAAAAACAGUUUUGAA